This 105-nucleotide small RNA is filed under the name Soonwooa buanensis. Its description in RNAcentral is "Flavo-1 RNA". It matches the Rfam family "Flavo-1 RNA". Lineage: Bacteria; Pseudomonadati; Bacteroidota; Flavobacteriia; Flavobacteriales; Weeksellaceae. The record is from Rfam by way of RNAcentral.
UUGCGGCCGCGAUAGAAGCGGCAUCCUUUUGUCUGAGUGAGGCGGCGGAGCGCAGCGGAGCCGACCGACCGAAGACAAAAGAUAUAGCGGAUAGCACGAAUUGUC